ACGAACGCUGGCGGCGUGCUUAACACAUGCAAGUCGAACGGUGAAGCGCCUUCCUUUUUGGUGGGUGUGGAUGAGUGGCGAACGGGUGAGUAACACGUGAGUAACCUGCCCCCUUCUUCUGGAUAACCGCAUGAAAGUGUGGCUAAUACGGGAUAUUCUGGGUCUGUCGCAUGAUGGGUCUGGGAAAGAUAUUGUUUCGGUGGGGGAUGGGCUCGCGGCCUAUCAGCUUGUUGGUGGGGUGAUGGCCUACCAAGGCGGUGACGGGUAGCCGGCCUGAGAGGGUGGACGGUCACACUGGGAAUGAGACACGGCCCAGACUCCUACGGGAGGCAGCAGUGGGGAAUAUUGCACAAUGGGCGCAAGCCUGAUGCAGCGACGCCGCGUGAGGGAUGGAGGCCUUCGGGUUGUGAACCUCUUUCGCCAGUGAAGCAGGCCUGCCUCGUUUGUGGGUGGGUUGACGGUAGCUGGAGAAGAAGCGCCGGCUAACUACGUG
Molecule: ribosomal RNA, 493 nt
Filed under: uncultured bacterium
Lineage: Bacteria
Description: partial 16S ribosomal RNA
Rfam family: Bacterial small subunit ribosomal RNA
Source: RNAcentral